CUCUGGAUAGCUCAGCUGGAAGAGCGAUGGACUGUAAUUGUUAAAACCGCCAUCCACAGGUCGCGUGUUCAAGUCACGCUCCGGAGA
Molecule: non-coding RNA, 87 nt
Organism: Diaporthe ampelina
Lineage: Eukaryota; Fungi; Ascomycota; Sordariomycetes; Diaporthales; Diaporthaceae
Source: Rfam